This is a non-coding RNA of Nicotiana tabacum (common tobacco), 2772 nucleotides long. The record is from RefSeq and is a predicted model, not a curated record. Lineage: Eukaryota; Viridiplantae; Streptophyta; Magnoliopsida; Solanales; Solanaceae.
CUCUUUAUCAACUUGCAUCCCAUUUUCAACCUCUUCCGAGUCCACCGUUUUUUUUUUCCUCUUCAGAUCUGUUCCUUAUCAUUUAUCUGCUUCUGAUGCUGUAUUCAGACCUGUGUAGAUCGUUCGCCGAUCUACAGUUUGAAUAUGGUUUCGAGUUGCAUCGGACAUCGAUUUUUUGAUCGUUGGGCCGGAGGUUUUGUUACGAAACGUUUGACUUUGAGAAAUGAGUUGAUGAAAGCUUCAUAAUUUGGAAGAGUAGCUCUUGUCUGCUUGUUAGUUGUUCCAAAGCAACCAAAUCUGGUUAUUCAAGUCGAUUCGAGGUUUCAUCGUUUGCUGCUAGAGUUCUGUCGGUUUGAUUCUACAUGCGGCUCAAAUUGACCACAUAUCUGUUCUGUAGAGCUGCUUGACUAAUCAGAUCUGAUUGGUGCUUCAACUGUCGAACUGUGGGUCGAUUAGCCGAUGGUUAUCGGCGAGGUUGUGGUUGUUAGAGAAGGUUUAUCAUUGUUUAAUUUGUUGUCUAUUAUGAGUUGCAUCAUUGAUGAGCAUUAACCUUUCUGAUACGCAUGCAUAUGUACGUACGAGUUAGUUAUAUUGUCAUAGAGAAAAAGAGAUUUUUGUUGUUGUUUUCCGACCUUUGCCAUGAUGGGUGCGCUCGCAUGGCAGGUCACUAUACCCAAUAAAGUUUCUAUUUUUUGUUUUGGGAGAGAGCUGGCACAGGUUUUUUGCCUGGCGCUCCUCUCUUUGUGUCUUGUCUUUUGUUUUUUCUCUUCCUUGUUCCAUAGAUUUAUGCGCAAGAUCAAUACCACCAAGAACGUCACAUCAGAUUGUUGGUUACUUGCCCUUUGAAUGAUGGUCUUUUAUUCAAGGGCAAGUGAACUUAAAUUUGACAUUGGUCAGGCUAAUGCUAGGAUUAAUCUGCUCCAGCACUCCAAUCAAAGGUACAAGAACGAAUUCCCUUCACAAACAUUUACGUUCAACUUGGCAUAUAGCAUAUUGCCGUUCCAUGAGUAAGUCUUUCAAGUAGCAGUCCUUAUACAAUUCCCUCUACAUUUAAUGCUCAUCUUAGACAACGAUGGCAAUAUUGAUCUACUUGUCAAAAAUGAGAUCUAACUAUUAAUUCCAAGCUAGUGAGACGCUAAUAAAUUGCUUAUUAAAAAUAAAUACUCUUUUAUGAAUCGUAUUGUGCGAGAUUAUAGAGCUACAUUCUAUCUAGGAAUAUUAUAAAACUCCUUUGCAAGAAAAAAUGUUACUACAUUUGGUAACAGUUAACAACUUGAUAACUUAAUUACAUUUUUGAAUGGGUAAACUAGUUUCUAAAAUAUUAGGUUUUGCAAAUAUGUCCGCUUUGAUUGACAGGCGUGCGGCAUACUUCCUAGUUGGUUGUUCUUAUAAAACGAGAUUGUUAACCCUGUGAAUUAUCCGUUACCACUUCUCUUGUUUAGAUUUCCGAUGAUUUCCAGUGUUAUCUUCGUCCAAGUAAUUAGAAUGUGUAGUGUGGAAUUCUUUUUAUUCAAAUGUUUCACUGUCUUCCUAAUUUUUAUUAGUUUGUGGCAUGUUAGAGUUUCAAUAGUCAGUUAUUGAUUGGUAAAACUAGUGGGAAAAUUUGUUGUAAUGUGCAAAUUUGAAUGGUAAGUUUUGUGAGUGCAGUAUUUUAUUUUGUAAUCUUGGAGGGGUGAAUCGUAUGUUCUCAAAUAUGUUUCAGUAUUUGGAGAGAAUGUCAUUCUUCUCUCCACUGGAUUUGAGAUGGUGCUCUCUACUUGUUGAAGAUCAAUAAAAGCAUUUGCCUCUGUUGAGGUGAUCAACCAACUUGGGAUGCUGCUGAAUUACACUGGAAAAGGUGAUGUUCUACUGCUGAAUUGAUUAAGGCUAUGUUGAUUUCUUGCUUCUUUUCCGUGUUGGAUAUUAUUCAUCGCUUGGGAUACUUUUGUAAACCAAAGUGUCAGCUGUGUUUGCUGUCUUUACUGUCAGUUGGAAUAGCUGUCUGAAAUUGAGGCUUCUCUCUUUGUUCGAAUACUUUCGAGGUGUUGCCGUCUUAUCGAUGUAGCUGGUCCAGAUUGUUCGGUGUAUUGCUUGAGCGAUAGGGUUAAUUUAUAAGUUCCAAAGUUUAUGUUGAUUGCAUUCUACGUUGAUGCUCUUAAAGAAAACAACAUCAUCCUGAUACCUGCAAGGGGGUCUCCCACUUUUAUUUUAUUUCAUGUCUUUGAUCUAUCUAAUUUUUUGCUAUCUUUUAUGAAAUGGAUAUUGCAACUUUUGUAGAUGAUAGAAAACUUACUACCAUACCUAAUUUGAGAAUUUUCCUGUGUCUAUAGUAGAGUGUAUUCAGAAAAUCUGCUAUCUUGUGCUAAUUCGCUAGGUUGUGGAAGUUUAUUUCUUCUUGCUGAAGGUUACUUCAAGGAAAUAUUGACAUCUGGUACAUGUUGUCUUGAUCGUUUGUUGAGGUUAUCGGAUCCAAGAGCUCGGCCUAUGGGGGAGCGCUCAAUUGUGUUCAGUUGAGAGGACGGUGGUUCGAAUCCACCUGGAUUCCUUUUGCAGUUUAUUAUCGCUAUAUACUUAAAUUGAGAAUAACAAGCGACAUUUUGAUUUAGUCGAGCACUUAAGCAUGUUUGGAAAGCCACAAAGGGAAAUUAGGUGGGUGUAAUUUACACGGUUUGACAUAUUCUUACUUGGUCAUUAUAGAAUUAGGUGUCAUUGAGACUCCAAUUCUUGGAGGAGACGAGGUGAAAAUUGGUACUAGUAAUUACAUUGUGUAAUUGCAAGAUAAUGUUAUAUUUC